CCUACGGGUGGCAGCAGUGAGGAAUAUUGGUCAAUGGGCUUACGCCUGAACCAGCCAAGUCGCGUGAGGGAAGACUGUCCUAUGGGUUGUAAACCUCUUUUGUCAGGGAGCAAUUGGCGCUACGUGUAGCGUUAUCGAGAGUACCUGAAGAAAAAGCAUCGGCUAACUCCGUGCCAGCAGCCGCGGUAAUACGGAGGAUGCGAGCGUUAUCCGGAUUUAUUGGGUUUAAAGGGUGCGUAGGCGGAAUGCCAAGUCAGCGGUAAAAUCGCGGGGCUCAACCUCGCUCCGCCGUUGAAACUGGCGUUCUUGAGUGGGCGAGAAGUAUGCGGAAUGCGUGGUGUAGCGGUGAAAUGCGUAGAUAUUAGGAGGAACACCAGUGGCGAAGGCGGCUUACUGGACUGUAAAUGACGCUGAGGCUCGAAAGCGUGGGGAGCAAACAGGAUUAGAUACCCUUGUAGUC
Molecule: ribosomal RNA, 460 nt
Filed under: uncultured bacterium
Lineage: Bacteria
Description: partial 16S ribosomal RNA
Rfam family: Bacterial small subunit ribosomal RNA
Source: RNAcentral